RNAcentral lists this unclassified non-coding RNA (854 nucleotides) under Hevea brasiliensis (rubber tree). The record is from RNAcentral. Lineage: Eukaryota; Viridiplantae; Streptophyta; Magnoliopsida; Malpighiales; Euphorbiaceae.
CUUCAGGGACAUACUGGCAAGGUGAAUCAUAAACGUUUGCUAUAUACUAUUUGAAUUUGUUCAUAUAAAUAUUUGCAUACUUGUGUGUGUUUGUUUUCCUUUUUGAUUUACUUGUUUUGGUUAGUGUCAUUUUUUCUGUAAAGGAAAUCACUAAAAUUCAUUACGACAAAUCAGUACACAAAGCGUACAAAAUGGAUUGAGGAGGGGCAGCACCCCACUUCUUAAAGACCAGACUCAGAACUGGCUGUUGUUGACAACAAAUGAGCAGCAUGGUUCGCUGAUCUCUUAACACAAAUACCACAGAGCUUUGGUUUAUUAAGACCUUUACAAUGAUGAACAAUUGCCCCAAAAUAGGAAGCAUCUACCUGAUCACCCAUCACUGCCUGAACUAGCAGUAAUAAUCAGUCUCAAAUAUAACUCGUUGAUAAGAAUGGGCGUUAACCCAGCUAAGAGCUUCUCUGAAACACAUAGCCUCGGCAAUCUUUGGAUCCAGGCGGCCCUAUUUCCUCUCAAAAUAUCCUCAUUCAUUCUACUUUUCCAACUUCAUUGUCUAAACUAAGAAGAUAUUCUGCUUAUUUUCUCCUAAAAACUACUCAGUCAAUAAUUUCUCCAUUUUCCCCCUCAGCUCCCACUUGAAUUUAGCCACAAAUCCUCCGCUCAUUCUUGAAACAACUACCAUGUCAAAAGGAACAGAGAAAAUAACAAUAGCAAUCUUUACGGCAACACACAUAAGCUAACUAACUCUAUUAUUGUGGUGGAAUAUUGUCUGUUAGUUAUCAUAUUAAUAUCUUUCCAACUUUCUUGCUUAUUUGUUUUUGUAUUUAACCCUCUCCAUACUCUCUCUCUCUCUCUCU